CAGUAGCCGCGGUAAUACGUAUGUCACAAGCGUUAUCCGGAUUUAUUGGGCGUAAAGCGCGUCUAGGUGGUUAUGUAAGUCUGAUGUGAAAAUGCAGGGCUCAACUCUGUAUUGCGUUGGAAACUGUGUAACUAGAGUACUGGAGAGGUAAGCGGAACUACAAGUGUAGAGGUGAAAUUCGUAGAUAUUUGUAGGAAUGCCGAUGGGGAAGCCAGCUUACUGGACAGAUACUGACGCUAAAGCGCGAAAGCGUGGGUAGCAAACAGGAUUAGAUACCCCGGUAGUCCCUGUCUCUUAUACC
RNAcentral lists this ribosomal RNA (301 nucleotides) under uncultured bacterium. Its description in RNAcentral is "partial 16S ribosomal RNA". It matches the Rfam family "Bacterial small subunit ribosomal RNA", at positions 509 to 808 of the family's 1533-position model. The record is from RNAcentral.